AUAUCCCAGCACCUGGGGGAGAAGAAGUUCAAUGAAUGAUCAUGACAAUGGCUAACAUUUACUGUCCAUUUACUAUGUGCCAGGGAAAGAUACCAGAGCGCGGGGCCCCAGAUCUGUCUGUCCUCAAAGCCUGUUCUUCUGGCCGCUGUUCAUCACACCAGCUACAGUUUUGUCAAGUCCUACAUGAGAAACCAGGCUCAGAGAGGUGAAGUCACUUGCCCAAGAUCACACAGCAAGUAAAUGGUAGACCUGGCAUUCAAAUCCAGAGCCUAUCAUUUGGAUUUGCAGAUGAUCUUUGACAGGUAAGCCAGUCAUUUUCAAGAAGGAGGACAUCAAAUCAUUUAGGGAGAUUUUUCAAGCUAGACCCAUCUUUCCUAGCACCCUAUCAUUAUGACCCUCCCCUCCACCUCCCAGUUAAGAACCACACUUCUAGGUCAUUUCACAGUGGACAUAUUAAAGCCAGGACCAGCCCAGCUGACUAAAAUUUAACUCUCCUGGUUUAAGACCAGGGCUUUCUUCCUCUUGACUACACUGCCUUCUAACAGAAGUCCUGAGCAGCUCUUGUUUUGAGUGAGGGUGUUCAUGAAUCUGUGUCUUUAGAGCCCUGGGUGAGGCUAAGUGCAUACAGGAGCCAGCAGACAGUCUGUAAAAAUAGCUGGGCUGGCAGAGAACCUAUUCUUCAUCUACAGAGAGUGGUUGAAACUCAACUCCAGCCACAAUAGCCAUGCCAGAGUGUUGGCCCAUUGUUGCCAGAUGUGGUGUUUCAACAGAAGUCAAGAAUCUAGAGUUACAAGUGAAGUCCUUUUUUAUGGCCACACUGUGCAGCAUGUGGUAUCUUAGUUCCCGGACCAGGGAUUGAACCCACACACCGUGCAGUGGCAGCACGAAGUCUUAACCACUGGACCUCCAGGGAAGUCCCUGUCAAGUGAAGUCUUCUAAUUUUUAAAUGUUGACAAUAAAUUCAAACACAAA
This is a non-coding RNA of Kogia breviceps (pygmy sperm whale), 972 nucleotides long. NCBI's taxonomy places the organism in Eukaryota, Metazoa, Chordata, Mammalia, Artiodactyla, Physeteridae. The record is from RefSeq and is a predicted model, not a curated record.